RNAcentral lists this ribosomal RNA (274 nucleotides) under uncultured bacterium. Its description in RNAcentral is "partial 16S ribosomal RNA". It matches the Rfam family "Bacterial small subunit ribosomal RNA", at positions 523 to 796 of the family's 1533-position model. The record is from RNAcentral.
AUACGGAGGGUGCGAGCGUUAAUCGGAAUUACUGGGCGUAAAGCGCGCGUAGGCGGUAAGAUAAGUCGGGUGUGAAAGCCCCGGGCUCAACCUGGGAACUGCAUUCGAUACUGUCUGACUAGAGUGUAAUAGAGGGAGGCGGAAUUCCACAUGUAGCGGUGAAAUGCGUAGAUAUGUGGAGGAACACCAAUGGCGAAGGCAGCCUCCUGGAUUAACACUGACGCUGAGGUGCGAAAGCGUGGGGAGCAAACAGGAUUAGAAACCCUAGUAGUCC